UGAUGAUGCAUGCUAUUUUGGUGGUAAUUAAAUUCAUUAGAAUCAUCAAUUCUGCUUAAUUGGCAUUAAUAAAUAAUUAAUGCAAGUAGUGUUUAAUCGGUUACAAAAGGAUAAAAAUUAGUCCUCGGCCUGGCCUGGUGGGAAAUCAAAACUCUAGGAAUUAUUUGGGUUGUGUAAUGUAUCUAUCUUAUAUAUUCACCAUUUCUCUUGAUCCUUGAUCUUAUAUUCUGAGUAAUAUGUAUAUAAACUUUCACUUAUUACAAUAGUAAUUCUCCUCCCAUUAUGUCAUUAAUUUGAUUCCUAUAUAUACACAAUACUACAAAUUUUUUUCUUGAUUUGGUGAUACACUCAGUUCCCUUCCCAACUCUCUUUUAAUUAAAUCUUCGAUCUACUGUGUCC
RNAcentral lists this long non-coding RNA (399 nucleotides) under Panax ginseng (ginseng). Its description in RNAcentral is "long non-coding RNA (PGIN_LNC019004)". The record is from RNAcentral. Lineage: Eukaryota; Viridiplantae; Streptophyta; Magnoliopsida; Apiales; Araliaceae.